This 677-nucleotide ribosomal RNA is filed under the name uncultured marine group I thaumarchaeote. RNAcentral's name for it is "bacterial SSU rRNA". It matches the Rfam family "Archaeal small subunit ribosomal RNA", at positions 321 to 999 of the family's 1478-position model. Lineage: Archaea; Thermoproteati; Nitrososphaerota. The record is from RNAcentral.
CCCUAUGGGGUGCAGCAGGCGAGAAAACUUUGCAAUGUGCGAAAGCACGACAAGGUUAAUCCGAGUGAUUCCUGCUAAAGGAAUCUUUUGUUAGUCAUAGAACCACUGAUGAAUAAGGGGUGGGCAAGUUCUGGUGUCAGCCGCCGCGGUAAAACCAGCACCUCAAGUGGUCAGGAUGAUUAUUGGGCCUAAAGCAUCCGUAGCCUGCCGUAUUAGUUUUCGGUUAAAUCCAUAUGCUCAACAUCUGGGCUGCCGGGAAUACUAUACAGCUAGGGAGUGGGAGAGGUAGACGGUACUCGGUAGGAAGGGGUAAAAUCCUUUGAUCUAUUGAUGACCACCUGUGGCGAAGGCGGUCUACCAGAACACGUCCGACGGUGAGGGAUGAAAGCUGGGGGAGCAAACCGGAUUAGAUACCCGGGUAGUCCCAGCUGUAAACAAUGCAAACUCAGUGAUGCACUGGCUUGUGGCCAGUGCAGUGCUGCAGGGAAGCCGUUAAGUUUGCCGCCUGGGAAGUACGUACGCAAGUAUGAAACUUAAAGGAAUUGGCGGGGGAGCACCACAAGGGGUGAAGCCUGCGGUUCAAUUGGAGUCAACGCCAGAAAUCUUACCCGGAGAGACAGCAGAAUGAAGGUCAAGCUGAAGACUUUACCAGACAAGCUGAGAGGAGGUGCAUGGCC